This 298-nucleotide ribosomal RNA is filed under the name uncultured gamma proteobacterium DCM-FREE-14. RNAcentral describes it as "partial 16S ribosomal RNA". The record is from RNAcentral. Lineage: Bacteria; Pseudomonadati; Pseudomonadota; Gammaproteobacteria.
GGUUACCUUGUUACGACUUCACCCCAGUCAUGAACCACACCGUGGUAAACGCCCUCCCUAAGGUUAGACUAUCUACUUCUGGUGAAUCCACUUCCAUGGUGUGACGGGCGGUGUGUACAAGACCCGAGAACGUAUUCACCGCGGCAUGCUGAUCCGCGAUUACUAGCGAUUCCGACUUCAUGGAGUCGAGUUGCAGACUCCAAUCCGGACUACGAGAAACUUUCUAGGGAUUAGCACCUCCUCCCGGCUUAGCGUCCGUCUGUAUUCCCCAUUGUUGGCACGUGUGUAGCCCUACUCG